RNAcentral lists this ribosomal RNA (151 nucleotides) under Byssomerulius corium. Its description in RNAcentral is "5.8S ribosomal RNA". It matches the Rfam family "5.8S ribosomal RNA". From Rfam's summary of the family: 5.8S ribosomal RNA (5.8S rRNA) is a component of the large subunit of the eukaryotic ribosome. It is transcribed by RNA polymerase I as part of the 45S precursor that also contains 18S and 28S rRNA. The record is from RNAcentral. Lineage: Eukaryota; Fungi; Basidiomycota; Agaricomycetes; Polyporales; Irpicaceae. RNAcentral also lists the same sequence under 1 other name.
UACAACUUUCAGCAACGGAUCUCUUGGCUCUCGCAUCGAUGAAGAACGCAGCGAAAUGCGAUAAGUAAUGUGAAUUGCAGAAUUCAGUGAAUCAUCGAAUCUUUGAACGCACCUUGCGCUCCUUGGUAUUCCGAGGAGCAUGCCUGUUUGA